RNAcentral lists this ribosomal RNA (376 nucleotides) under uncultured bacterium. RNAcentral describes it as "bacterial SSU rRNA". It matches the Rfam family "Bacterial small subunit ribosomal RNA", at positions 524 to 898 of the family's 1533-position model. The record is from RNAcentral.
UACGUAGGUGGCGAGCGUUAUCCGGAAUUACUGGGCGUAAAGCGCAAGCAGGCGGCGCGUUAAGUUCGACGUAAAAUCUCCUGGCUUAACUGGGAGGGGUCGUUGGAGACUGGCGUGCUUGAGGCGAUGAGAGGGACAUGGAAUUCCCGGUGUAGUGGUGGAAUGCGUAGAGAUCGGGAGGAACACCAGAGGCGAAAGCGGUGUCCUGGCAUUGGCCUGACGCUGAGAUGCGAAAGCGUGGGGAGCGAACGGGAUUAGAUACCCCGGUAGUCCACGCCGUAAACGAUGAGAACUGGGUGUCGGUGGGGUUAGAGCCAUCGGUGCCGAAGCCAACGCGUUAAGUUCUCCGCCUGGGGAGUACGGCCGCAAGGCUAAA